UCCAAUAUGGGUACCUCCUCUUCUUCUUAUGAUUCCCAUAUUAGUCUACUUGUUGAGAAAUAAACUUAAAGCUAAGCGAUCUCAGAGAAAGCAGCAACCUCCAGGGCCUCCAGGCAUUCCAAUCAUAGGCAACUUGCAUCAACUUGGCGAAUUGCGGCAUCGCACUUUGUGGCAAUUCUCCAAGAAAUAUGGUCCUGUGAUGCUUCUCCAUCUCGGUCGUGUUCCAACAGUUAUAGUCUCCUCUGCAGAUGCAGCUAAGGAGGUCUUGAAAACCCAUGAUCUCAAUUGUUGCAGUAGACCUCUCUUGGCUGGUACUGGGAAGCUAUCCUAUAACUAUCUUGACGUAGCUUUCACUCCCUAUGGCGAUUACUGGAGAGAUAUGCGAAAGAUUUGUGUUCUUGAGCUCUUCAGUGCCAAGAGAGUCCAGUCGUUUCAGUUUGUUAGGGAAGAAGAGACUGAUUUGCUCAUCAGUUCCAUCUCCAAGUUUUCUUCCUCUGCCACUCCUGUUGAUCUCAGUGAGAAGAUGAUGUCUCUCACUGCGAACAUAACUUGUAGAGCAGCAUUUGGGAAGAGUUUUCAAGAGAAAGGGUUCGGCCAUGAAAGAUUCCAAGAAGUUAUUCAUGAAGGCUUUGCUAUGCUUGGGAGCUUCUCUGCAGCUGAUUUCUUUCCUUAUGUGGGUUGGGUUGUUGAUAGACUCACAGGCCUCCACGCAAGGCUUGAAAAGAAUUUUCAAGAAUUUGAUGUUUUCUACCAGAAAGUGAUAGAGGAUCACAUCCAAAAGCAAAGCAAAGAUCCUGGAAAGGAAGAUAUUAUCGAUGUGUUGCUUGGGAUGGAGAGACCUCAAACUGAAACUGCAAUUCAAUCGUCCCAAGAUCAUAUUAAAGCGAUUCUCAUGGUAACUUAACUGGGUUUUUUCCCCUUAUUUUUCUUUAUUGAUUCAUUCAUUUGAUACGAAAAUUAAUCCUAUUGAUUACCAGAACAUAUUCCUGGCCGGAGUCGAAACCGGAGCAAUAACCAUAGUGUGGGCCAUGGCAGAGCUUGCUAGACACCCUAGAGUAAUGAAAAAAGCACAAGAAGAAAUCAGAAGUUGCAUCGGAAAUAAAACAAGAGUCUCUGAAAGUGACAUUGACAAGCUUGAAUACUUAAAGAUGAUAGUGAAGGAAACAAUGAGACUGCACCCACCAGGUCCACUGCUAAUUCCAAGAGAAGCCAUGUCAAGCUUCAGCAUAAAUGAGUAUGAGAUAGAACCCAAGACUCGAAUCCAAGUGAAUGUGUGGGCAAUAGGAAGGGAUCCCAAGAUAUGGAGAAACCCAGAAGAGUUUUUUCCAGAGAGGUUUAUAGACAAUCCCAUUGAUUUUAAAGGGCAGAAUUAUGAAUUGCUACCAUUUGGUGGUGGAAGGAGAGGCUGUCCUGGAAUCUCCAUGGGACUAGCUACUGUGGAGCUUGCACUUGCAAAUCUUCUGUUUUGUUUUGAUUGGAAGUUGCCUUUUAAUAUGAAGGAGGAAGAGCUUAACAUGGAAGAGGCGUCUGGUCUUAGUACUUACAAGAAAGCAGCUCUACUCCUAGUGCCUGUUCAAUAUCAAACUGCAUGAUAAUAAUUGAGAGAGAGAGAGCGAGAAAAAUUACAUGUUCUUACGUUGCAUUGCUUAAUUUGUAUUGAUAACAUGUGCUUUGAAUAAAAGUAAGAAAUAAUUCAUUUAAUUUUGAGGAUGAAUUUAAUUUGACUACAUUCAUAUCAUAACUAUAACUAUAUGAUAGACGGUUGGAUUUCUCACACUUAGACUGAAGUCAAAACUUAAAAAAAAAAAAAAAACAGGCACAACAUCUAAUAGACUCGAGCAGACCAGUCCAACAUCGCGUCUUCCAGCUCUUGACUAAGCAAGCCGGACUAACUCUAUGUUUAAGUCCACCAAAAGAAAGUUUAGUCCGAUGACAUGAUAAAAGAUAAGAGAGCAGCCCAGCUAUCUCGUGACCCUAUCAAUAUGUGCAUCGAAGAAAAAUUAAAUGGUUGUCUGACAAAUAUAAGUGUCCAUACAUGUGGGUCUGCGUGACACGAGGUGACAUUAUAAAAAAAUGACGGUUAUAUAUCACUAUAAAAUAAAUGAAAAAUAAAUAAGUAGGAAAAAAUUAGAUAUUUCAAAACUAAACUUAAACAUAUUUUGUAAAUUCUAUUUUUUAAAUUUCAAAAUAUCACUAUAUAAUAAAUUAUUAAUAAUUGCUAACUUUUUCUUAAAAUCUAUAUCUUUUUUCUUAAAAUUGGUGUAGAGGCGUGAUAGUUUAUUUAAAUAGUGUUUUUUAGUGUUGCCAUAUAUUAUUAUUUUCAAGAGAGUUUAAUUUUAUGAUAUUUUAUAUUAAAUAUUUAAUAUUCUUUUUUAAAAAUAGUUAAUUAUUAAAUUUCAAGGUUUUUGUGAUUCAACUUUUAAUAAAAAAAAUUUAUAGUAUUUUUAUUUCAUUUAUCAACGUUGAUAUUUCACAUAUACAUGUAUUUUUUUUAACUAUCCAUAGUAAACUUGAUUAAUAAAUUUAAUUUUUUUAAAAUAUAUACAUAUAAUGCAAACUAAUUACAUAAAGCUUGACGUUAUUUAUUUCAUUUUUUUUUAUCUCAUAUAAUAAAAUAUUAUAUAAUUAAUUUGAAUAAUAUCCGCAAUAAUACCACCCAAGCAAGCUAUCCAAUCAAGUAAUACCAAGUAAGCAAUAUUAAUAUUUAAAUCUAUUUCACACAUUUGAACAUAAAAGGUAAUACUAAGAUUUUCUAAAAAUUUAUAGAAUAGAGUCAAUAUCAUCAAAGCAAGAACCUUUCUUUUUAAUUUUUUCAAACUUGUUAGGAGAAUAAAUGUGUAAUUAAUAUUAUUUAAAUUUAUUUUAAUAUUUAUUUAAAAAUACAAUAUCGUUUCAAACUUAUACGAGACUAAAUAUAUAAUAAAUGAUAAUAUUUAUAAGACUAAAUAAGUAAUUUUUUUAAAAAAAAUUAUGAGGCUAAACAUAAGAUAUAAACUUAUUAUUAAUCUCUAAUAUUCAUAUAUCCCUAUCAUCUUUAAUGAAAUAUACGUGGCAAAAUCUUAAGAUGAGUUGUAUUUUAUAUAUUAUCAUAUAUCGUGAAAAUAAUCCUAACUAUCUUUUGUAAAUCUUCCAGGGGAUUUCUCCGCGUGCCUUGGGUCCAUUAAGCCAACAACGGCAUUUCUUUUUCUUCGUUGUGCGUAUUCAGCAUUGGUUACUAUGAUAAUUUUAUACAGCAAACACAAAAGGUGGCGGUUUUUUUAAUCAACCCCUUGGACAUAGAAGAUUUGUAUGAAGAUUUUAUUUAUUUGUUUAUUUAUUCAAAAAGAUACUUUUUCUUUAUUAUUAUUAUUAUAUUCACAUGUGAUAUUAAAGCUUAAUAUUUUAUAGGAUUUAUCAAAAAAUUUUAUGAUAAUUUGUACAGUAACAAGUGUUUAUAAUUCGCAUGGAGUGGCUAGAGAAAUCCCUUAUUCACUAUUUCGAAUUUAAAAUUUUAAAAAUUUAAUUUCAUUGAUUUUUUUAAAAAAAAUUUAUUUAAAAUAGUUUAAUUAUUUUAUUUUGAAAGAAAUUUUAUAAAAAUUUAUUUGAAUUUUUUUAUAAAAUGAAUCAUUAAUGAAGUAGUAAAAAAAUCCAUUGAAAAAAAAAAUCAUUAAUCAUUAAAUAAAGUAUUAAAAGGCAUUUUUCAUAAAAAAAAAAAUGCAUUAAAAAUAGAGUUUGGUGAGAAUUCCAUCUCAGAUGAGGCUGCAUAUGUUAAAUUAAAAUAACGUGUAUUAAUAAUUUCAAAUUCUUUAUAAUAAUCCAUUUCAAAAAAAAAAAGAAUUCUUUAUAAUAAUUUCUACAAUCAUGUGAUGAUGAAUAUAUUUAAUUUAUAUUCAUAAUUAAAUGAUUAUGAUGAACUCCAUCAAGUAAAGCACCCAUCUUGAGCAAAUUUCAGGCUCCAAUUUAUCCCAAAAAAGCUGCUAGAGCUACUUCCAAAACAUCAAAUGGCUUCUCCAGUAUGGCUAACUCCUCUUCUGCUUAUGAUUCCUGUAUUAUUCUACCUUUUGAAAAAUAAAAUUCAAGCUCAGCGAUCACAGAGAAAGCAGCAACCUCCAGGGCCUCCAGGCAUUCCAAUCAUAGGCAACUUGCAUCAACUUGGCGAAUUGCGGCAUCGCACUUUGUGGCAAUUCUCCAAGAAAUAUGGCCCUGUGAUGCUUCUCC
This 4197-nucleotide long non-coding RNA is filed under the name Manihot esculenta (cassava). Its description in RNAcentral is "long non-coding RNA (MESC_LNC000896)". Lineage: Eukaryota; Viridiplantae; Streptophyta; Magnoliopsida; Malpighiales; Euphorbiaceae. The record is from RNAcentral.